UUUAAACUUCUGCACCUAAAAUUAUAUCUUAAUCCAACAUCGAGGUCGCAAUCAAUUUUAUCAAUAAGAACUCUCCAAAAUUAUUACGCUGUUAUCCCUAAAGUAACUUAUUUUAUUAAUCAUUAAUAAUGGAUCAUUAAUUCAUAAAUUAAUGUUUAAAAAUUUUUAAAAGUUAUAUAAAUUUUAAUAUCACCCCAAUAAAAUAAAUAUUUUAUUAAUAAAAUUUAUAAAUCAAUAAAUUUAUAAUAAAAUUAUUAUAAAGAUUUAUAGGGUCUUCUCGUCUUUUAAAAACAUUUUAGCUUUUUGACUAAAAUAUAAAAUUCAAAUAUAAUAUUUAGAUGAAACAGUUAAUAUUUCGUCCAACCAUUCAUUCCAGCUUUCAAUUAAAAAACUAUUGAUUAUGCUACCUUUGCACAGUUAAUAUACUGCGGCCAUUUAAAUUUUCAGUGGGCAGGUUAGACUUUAAAAUAAACUCAAAAAGACAUGUUUUU
Molecule: ribosomal RNA, 491 nt
Filed under: Trichobius yunkeri '1' Di151
Lineage: Eukaryota; Metazoa; Arthropoda; Insecta; Diptera; Streblidae
Also listed under: 1 other name
Description: partial 16S ribosomal RNA
Source: RNAcentral